This 479-nucleotide ribosomal RNA is filed under the name uncultured bacterium. RNAcentral's name for it is "partial 16S ribosomal RNA". It matches the Rfam family "Bacterial small subunit ribosomal RNA", at positions 28 to 507 of the family's 1533-position model. The record is from RNAcentral.
GAUGAACGCUGGCGGCGUGCUUAACACAUGCAAGUCGAACGAAGCACUUAUCUUUGAUUCUUCGGAUGCAGAGGUUUGUGACUGAGUGGCGGACGGGUGAGUAACGCGUGGGUAACCUGCCUCAUACAGGGGGAUAACAGUUAGAAAUGACUGCUAAUACCGCAUAAGACCACGGAGCCGCAUGGCUCAGUGGGAAAAACUCCGGUGGUAUGAGAUGGACCCGCGUCUGAUUAGGUAGUUGGUGGGGUAACGGCCUACCAAGCCAACGAUCAGUAGCCGACCUGAGAGGGUGACCGGCCACAUUGGGACUGAGACACGGCCCAAACUCCUACGGGAGGCAGCAGUGGGGAAUAUUGCACAAUGGGGGAAACCCUGAUGCAGCGACGCCGCGUGAGCGAAGAAGUAUUUCGGUAUGUAAAGCUCUAUCAGCAGGGAAGAAAAUGACGGUACCUGACUAAGAAGCACCGGCUAAAUACGUG